Long non-coding RNA from Lemur catta (Ring-tailed lemur), 1078 nucleotides. RefSeq lists it as uncharacterized. Lineage: Eukaryota; Metazoa; Chordata; Mammalia; Primates; Lemuridae. The record is from RefSeq and is a predicted model, not a curated record. The transcript is spliced from 3 exons.
GCCGCGUCUCCUCUGCGCAGAGAUUGGAGCAGUCGCGGCGGCUGGCUAAGGCCCGUGAGUGCUGGCAGAAAGCUUCAAGGGACUCUGUGGCCCUGUGGCUCAAGUGGAGCUGGCGGAAAACCCUGAGGAGCUUGAGACAGCCACGGCUUAGGUGGAGCCGGCGUCGGCUGGCUCGGAGCGUGGGCGAGUUUCCUCUUGGCAGGUGCCGCGGGGGUUGACGCAAGGACUCCCCCGCUUUUUUUUUAGUUGUCUGUCUGGGGUGUGACUGAAUCCCAGGCUAAGCCGUAGCCUCCCAGCCUGCCAAAACAGAACUUGUUUUAACAUGACUCUCAUAUCACCACCUGUACUCCGUUCUGCUGUGUUUUUCAAAGUGUAAUCUCUGGGCAUCCGCUUAAAAUCCACCUGAGGCGGUGGUUGAAAAUCCAAAUCGCUGGGCCUCGGUGCAAGACGCCUCUUGAAGCGCGAGGUUAUUUUUUUCUUUGAGAGUCAGAAAAUAAACAGUAUACAACAAAGAAAGGAACCUGAAAAGGAGCUUAGUUCUGCAGGAAUUUAAAUUCUGAGUCUUUGGUACAAUCUUGACCUGUACUACCAACUAACACCGGCAUCAGUGAGCAUCCUAAAUGUUCUGCGUUUGUUGAUCCCAAAGACUUGGAGAGUAGAGAUGUAGCAAUCUUGAUAACUUGGGCGCAUUGGGUCAUGGCCCCACAGAUUUACUCCAUUAUUAAGUAUGAACUAAUCUGUUUUGGAAGCAAACAUGCUAUUUACCGCCACUGCAGAGAGAGAAAUGCACAAGGAAAGGACAACUGCCCUGGAUGUUAACAUGUCCAAAUAUGAUGACUAAACCGGCUGCAGCCAUCUUGCAACCAGGGAGGAGCCAGCUGGAAAACAAAACCAGUACAUUGAGAUGACACAACAAGAAGUGGAAAGAACCUGAGUCCUUGAUGAUGCUAUUGAGCUGAUGGAUUAAACCUGGAGUGUAUCUACUAUGGGCUUCCUGCUGGAGUGCAGUGGCUACUCACGGUGAGAUCAUCGCACACCUCAGCCUCAAACUCCUGGCCUCCAGUGAUCUUCCUGACUC